UUUCCGUAGGUGAACCUGCGGAAGGAUCAUUAUUGUAUAACCGAGGUGCGAGGGCUGUCGCUGACCCGAAAGGUCGUGCACACCCGAGUGCCCUCACACACAUCCAUCUCACCCCUAUGUGCACCACCGCGUGGGUCCCCCUUUGGCUUGUUCGGAGGGGGGCUUACGCUUUCACACAAACUUUGUAUGCAGUGUAGAAUGUAUUUUUUGUUUUUGCGAUCACGCAAUCAAUACAACUUUCAACAACGGAUCUCUUGGCUCUC
Molecule: unclassified non-coding RNA, 263 nt
Filed under: plant metagenome
Description: partial contains small subunit ribosomal RNA, internal transcribed spacer 1, and 5.8S ribosomal RNA
Source: RNAcentral